UUGUUUGUUGUUGUAACAAAUAAAACUGACAAAAACAAAAUACAUCGUCCAGUAAGGUGUCUGUGGCUAUUGAAAGAAAAGUUAUUCAUGACCUCUUGUUAUUUAUGCUCGGUAAUAAAACGGUAUUAACAAUAAGUUAUUUAGCUACACUUUCUGCUUUACAGAAACGAAAAGACACAGAUACGCUAGCACUACCAGUACACAUGUAGAAAAACGUGUCAAUUAUGGCUCUACACUGGAAAAAACAUUUGCCAAAAGAAGCAUGCCAAAAUAACCUUUGUGACAGUGCAAAUACAUCGAUGUCCCUGGUACAAAACAUUUAGGUUAGCAUUCCGUGAAACAUGCUAGUUCUCCGAAGAGAUCUGAACCAGUCGUAGAGUAGCAGAGUAGCAGCUCUGAGGAGAUAGCUUGUGUCUUUUCUUCUCGGACAAACAUCCUUCUUUAAAAGUACUAGGAGGUAACUACCACUGACACAUACACACAGGAGACAGGAAACAGCUCAGAAACAUGAUGCUUUCUCUCUCCUUUUGCUAGAAAGAGGAGGGGACUGAAGUUGUGGUUGGUUAAAGUAAUAUACAUCGUCACAACUGUCCAACACAUUCAAUAAACAUUGGAGACGGUACAGGUCAGAAGGGUUAAACACCAUCACAUAUACAAAGGAAGAAUAACAAGAAACGUGUCGGUAUGUGGUGUCUGGAGAUGAGGAGAGAGAAAGAGAGUAGAGUGGGUUCAGAGGAGAUGGGCAGGACAGGGAGAGAGUAGAGUGGGUUCAGAGGAGAUGGGCAGGACAGAGAGAGAGUAGAGUGGGUUCAGAGGAGAUGGGCAGGACAGAGAAAGAGAGUAGAGUGGGUUCAGAGGAGAUGGGCAGGACAGAGAGAGAGAGUUGUGGGUUCAGAGGAGAUGGGCAGGACAGAGAGAGAGUAGAGUUGGGUUCAGAGGAGAUGGGCAGGACAGAGAGUUAGUAGAGUGGGUUCAGAGGAGAUGGGCAGGACAGAGAGAGAGUAGAGUUGGUUCAGAGGAGAUGGAGGAGUUGGACAGGACAGAGAGAGAGUAGAGUUGGUUCAGAGGAGAUGGAGGAGUUGGACAGGACAGAGAGAGUAGAGUUGGUUCAGAGGAGAUGGAGGAGUUGGGCAGGACAGAGAGAGAGUAGAGUUGGUUCAGAGGAGAUGGAGGAGUUGGACAGGACAGAGAGAGAGUAGAGUUGGUUCAGAGGAGAUGGAGGAGUUGGACAGGACAGAGAGAGAGUAGAGUUGGUUCAGAGGAGAUGGAGGAGUUGGACAGGACAGAGAGAGAGUAGAGUUGGUUCAGAGGAGAUGGAGGAGUUGGGCAGGACAGAGAGAGAGUAGAGUUGGUUCAGAGGAGAUGGAGGAGUUGGACAGGACAGAGAGAAGAGUAGAGUUGAGUUCAGUGUACAACUAUUUUCUCUCACUGAUUCAUAGGUAAUCUCUU
This is a long non-coding RNA of Oncorhynchus tshawytscha (Chinook salmon), 1449 nucleotides long. Lineage: Eukaryota; Metazoa; Chordata; Actinopteri; Salmoniformes; Salmonidae. The record is from Ensembl.